RNAcentral lists this ribosomal RNA (275 nucleotides) under uncultured bacterium. RNAcentral describes it as "partial 16S ribosomal RNA". It matches the Rfam family "Bacterial small subunit ribosomal RNA", at positions 335 to 628 of the family's 1533-position model. The record is from RNAcentral.
ACCCUACGGGGCGCAGCAGUGGGGAAUAUUGCACACUGGGGGGAACCCUGAUGCAGCGACGCGGCGGGGGUGAAGAAGUCAUUCGUGACGAAAAGCCCUAUCCGCAGGGAAGAAAAUGACGGUACCUGACUAAGAAGCCCCGGCUAACUACGUGCCAGCAGCCGCGGUAAUACGUAGGGGGCAAGCGUUAUCCGGAUUUACUGGGUGUAAAGGGAGCGGAGACGGCGGCGCAAGUCCGGAGGGAAAGCCCACGGCCCAACCGUGGGACUGCUCUG